UCCAAUCUACCAGUGAGGUCCACGUGGGAUUAGCUGGAGGGAGCUAUGAAGUCAAGCGGCAAGCGGCAUCAGCCCGGGAGCACUCCCCCAGCAGCAGGGGCUCACGAGGACCUGGGCAUCGGAUGUGUGCUCAGUGCACCUCUCCUCUCACCUCGUCAUGAAACCUACGGUGGGUCCUCUCGCAACAGCAGCAUCUGUGGUGACCACCUGCGGAUGGGCCACUGUACCGGGCAUUGUACUGACAAUGUCUACAUUAUCCGGUGGACUUUGCAGCAACCCUGCAGAGGGGAGCCUGAGGCUCGGAAAGGUGACAUGACCUGCCUGAAG
RNAcentral lists this long non-coding RNA (327 nucleotides) under Rhinopithecus bieti (black snub-nosed monkey). RNAcentral describes it as "lncRNA (ENSRBIG00000045599.1)". The record is from RNAcentral. Lineage: Eukaryota; Metazoa; Chordata; Mammalia; Primates; Cercopithecidae.